CCUACGGGUGACAGCAGUGAGGAAUAUUGGUCAAUGGACGAGAGUCUGAACCAGCCAAGUAGCGUGAAGGAUGACUGCCCUAUGGGUUGUAAACUUCUUUUAUAUGGGAAUAAAACGUUCCACGUGUGGGAUUUUGUAUGUACCAUAUGAAUAAGGAUCGGCUAACUCCGUGCCAGCAGCCGCGGUAAUACGGAGGAUCCGAGCGUUAUCCAGAUUUAUUGGGUUUAAAGGGAGCGUAGGUGGAUUGUUAAGUCAGUUGUGAAAGUUUGCGGCUCAACCGUAAAAUUGCAGUUGAAACUGGCAGUCUUGAGUACAGUAGAGGUGGGCGGAAUUCGUGGUGUAGCGGUGAAAUGCUUAGAUAUCACGAAGAACUCCGAUUGCGAAGGCAGUUCACUGGACUGCAACUGACACUGAGGCUCGAAAGUGUGGGUAUCAAACAGGAUUAGAUACCCGAGUAGUC
RNAcentral lists this ribosomal RNA (460 nucleotides) under uncultured bacterium. RNAcentral describes it as "partial 16S ribosomal RNA". It matches the Rfam family "Bacterial small subunit ribosomal RNA", at positions 338 to 795 of the family's 1533-position model. The record is from RNAcentral.